AGAUUGAACGCUGGCGGCAUGCCUAACACAUGCAAGUCGAACGGGAGUAGCAAUACUCUAGUGGCGGACGGGUGAGGAAUACGUAGGAAUUUGCCCUUAAGUGGGGGAUAACCCGGGGAAACCCGGAUUAAUACCGCAUGACCUCGAAAGAGCAAAGUGGGGGAUCGCAAGACCUCACGCUUUUGGAGAAGCCUACGUCGGAUUAGCUAGUUGGUGAGGUAAUGGCUCACCAAAGGCGACGAUCCGUAACUGGUCUGAGAGGAUGAUCAGUCACACCGGAACUGAGACACGGUCCGGACUCCUACGGGAGGCAGCAGUGGGGAAUAUUGGACAAUGGGCGCAAGCCUGAUCCAGCAAUGCCGCGUGUGUGAAGAAGGCCUGGUGUAAGUAGCUUAACGUUGGUAAGAAAACGAACGACACUAACAACACGUAGAGACUUGUACGGUACCGUAAC
Molecule: ribosomal RNA, 454 nt
Filed under: uncultured soil bacterium
Lineage: Bacteria
Description: bacterial SSU rRNA
Rfam family: Bacterial small subunit ribosomal RNA
Source: RNAcentral